This 301-nucleotide ribosomal RNA is filed under the name uncultured bacterium. RNAcentral describes it as "partial 16S ribosomal RNA". It matches the Rfam family "Bacterial small subunit ribosomal RNA", at positions 509 to 807 of the family's 1533-position model. The record is from RNAcentral.
CAGCAGCCGCGGUAAUACGUAGGUGGCAAGCGUUGUCCGGAAUUAUUGCGCGUAAAGGGCUCGCAGGCGGUUUCUUAAGUCUGAUGUGAAAGCCCCCGGCUCAACCGGGGAGGGUCAUUGGAAACUGGGAAACUUGAGUGCAGAAGAGGAGAGUGGAAUUCCACGUGUAGCGGUGAAAUGCGUAGAGAUGUGGAGGAACACCAGUGGCGAAGGCGACUCUCUGGUCUGUAACUGACGCUGAGGAGCGAAAGCGUGGGGAGCGAACAGGAUUAGAUACCCGGGUAGUCCCUGUCUCUUAUAC